AAUUUGAGAUUCGCGUGGUUGCAUUAGAAUAUGAUGAAGAUGCACCAUGGUGAUUCUUGAAUUCA
Molecule: non-coding RNA, 65 nt
Organism: Pristionchus pacificus
Lineage: Eukaryota; Metazoa; Nematoda; Chromadorea; Rhabditida; Neodiplogasteridae
Source: Rfam